Molecule: long non-coding RNA, 1051 nt
Organism: Falco peregrinus (peregrine falcon)
Lineage: Eukaryota; Metazoa; Chordata; Aves; Falconiformes; Falconidae
Exons: 3
Source: RefSeq, a predicted model, not a curated record
UAAUCCUAGAGCAGGAAGGACCUCAAACUGUGGAAGAUGGAGAUGUUUCAGAAGGAUGCAACCUACCCAAAGUAAAUGGCAUAGCAGAACUGGGAAGGAGGAGCUGUGCAGUGUGCACCUACCUCUAUUUUCUAUGCUUGGCUUUGCCAGCAGCUUGGUACAGGAUCGUAUGACUGUCCUGGGUAACAUCUGUUACACAAGAGUACAGGAGAGGAAAGUGCAUUAUUUCAUUAAGGAGCAAAGGGGAGUGGUGUCUACUACAUAUAGCAUGUAGACCCUGGUUAAGGAGGAUAUCUUUAUUUGGGAAACAUAUUUAAUUCAAGAAUGUACUUAAAGAAGCAUCACUCGCUGUCUACACUGAGAAUGAUUUUGGGCCAGGAAGUGGAGAAGACCAGAGCAGGAGGACAGGUCUGGAAUAAAACCUGAGUCCCCUUUGGAAGACCUAAGGACUUCUCUGUCAUCAGCAGCUGAGGCAGCCUGAAUGCCAACAUUCUCUUUAUUGCAGUUAAUUUGUCCUUAAAGACUCCUUCAGUGAGCAGACUACGGUUGGAGCUUCUGCUUUCUUAGACAUGACCCAUUACAUCAGACCUCACUGGCAUGUGGCUCUAAUGAGCCAAGUAGCAGAUAGUCUAAGAUACUGCCAUCCAUGCCUUUUAUGCCUUUCCAGGAGGUGACUUUCCUUCAGCAGAAUUGGUGGUCGAGACCUAUACCUAUAUCUGUAUUAAGUCCAACAGGUUAACUUGCACUGCUAUGAAAGUUAGUUUAAAGAGAUGAUUGUAUUUUGAUCUAGGCUACAGGAAUGUUUCCUAUUUUGAACUACUUCCACAGCAUUACAAGUUUUGGUUUCGGCAGGCUGAAAACACUAUUCUACCUAAAGAGGGAAAAUUAAAUUUUCUUGUAUCAAGUAGCUAGGAACAGCAGUCAUGGAUCAAACCCAUGAAUGUGGCUUAACUUUUAGCACUACAAAUUCAAUUUGUUAUUUUAUCACCUGGUUUUGUUCUCGAUUUUUUCUCUAUAACAAACAUGAUCAAUAAAAUAUACAAUAACUCUG